RNAcentral lists this ribosomal RNA (1381 nucleotides) under Salmonella enterica subsp. enterica serovar Typhimurium. RNAcentral describes it as "partial 23S ribosomal RNA". It matches the Rfam family "Bacterial large subunit ribosomal RNA", at positions 1580 to 2925 of the family's 2925-position model. The record is from RNAcentral. Lineage: Bacteria; Pseudomonadati; Pseudomonadota; Gammaproteobacteria; Enterobacterales; Enterobacteriaceae.
CGGUGCUGAAGCAACAAAUGCCCUGCUUCCAGGAAAAGCCUCUAAGCAUCAGGUAACAUCAAAUCGUACCCCAAACCGACACAGGUGGUCAGGUAGAGAAUACCAAGGCGCUUGAGAGAACUCGGGUGAAGGAACUAGGCAAAAUGGUGCCGUAACUUCGGGAGAAGGCACGCUGACACGUAGGUGAAGUGAUUUACUCACGGAGCUGAAGUCAGUCGAAGAUACCAGCUGGCUGCAACUGUUUAUUAAAAACACAGCACUGUGCAAACACGAAAGUGGACGUAUACGGUGUGACGCCUGCCCGGUGCCGGAAGGUUAAUUGAUGGGGUCAGCGCAAGCGAAGCUCCUGAUCGAAGCCCCGGUAAACGGCGGCCGUAACUAUAACGGUCCUAAGGUAGCGAAAUUCCUUGUCGGGUAAGUUCCGACCUGCACGAAUGGCGUAAUGAUGGCCAGGCUGUCUCCACCCGAGACUCAGUGAAAUUGAACUCGCUGUGAAGAUGCAGUGUACCCGCGGCAAGACGGAAAGACCCCGUGAACCUUUACUAUAGCUUGACACUGAACAUUGAGCCUUGAUGUGUAGGAUAGGUGGGAGGCUUUGAAGUGUGGACGCCAGUCUGCAUGGAGCCGACCUUGAAAUACCACCCUUUAAUGUUUGAUGUUCUAACGUGGACCCGUAAUCCGGGUUGCGGACAGUGUCUGGUGGGUAGUUUGACUGGGGCGGUCUCCUCCUAAAGAGUAACGGAGGAGCACGAAGGUUGGCUAAUCCUGGUCGGACAUCAGGAGGUUAGUGCAAUGGCAUAAGCCAGCUUGACUGCGAGCGUGACGGCGCGAGCAGGUGCGAAAGCAGGUCAUAGUGAUCCGGUGGUUCUGAAUGGAAGGGCCAUCGCUCAACGGAUAAAAGGUACUCCGGGGAUAACAGGCUGAUACCGCCCAAGAGUUCAUAUCGACGGCGGUGUUUGGCACCUCGAUGUCGGCUCAUCACAUCCUGGGGCUGAAGUAGGUCCCAAGGGUAUGGCUGUUCGCCAUUUAAAGUGGUACGCGAGCUGGGUUUAGAACGUCGUGAGACAGUUCGGUCCCUAUCUGCCGUGGGCGCUGGAGAACUGAGGGGGGCUGCUCCUAGUACGAGAGGACCGGAGUGGACGCAUCACUGGUGUUCGGGUUGUCAUGCCAAUGGCACUGCCCGGUAGCUAAAUGCGGAAGAGAUAAGUGCUGAAAGCAUCUAAGCACGAAACUUGCCCCGAGAUGAGUUCUCCCUGAGACUUAGAGUCUCCUGAAGGAACGUUGAAGACGACGACGUUGAUAGGCCGGGUGUGUAAGCGCAGCGAUGCGUUGAGCUAACCGGUACUAAUGAACCGUGAGGCUUAACCUUACAACGCCGAAG